UUACAGGAAGCAGUACGCCGUCUUCACAACUCGGAGACAAAUUGCAGGCGCUACGAACCGGAGCAAGGACUAAUCUCGCCUCAUAAUGAGGCGGUGACCUCCUAUUUGCUCGGAGCAAUAUCUGGAAGUCCAGAUUUACACGAUGUUGAUAAAGACGACAUUGUGUCCGCCUGUAAGACAUAUUACGAGACGGUACGCAGGAGCUUUAGAUACAUGUAUACCCAGCCAGAAAACUCAUUGCGGGCGGAAGCUGCGAAGACUUCAGCUCAGGAGUCGAGCGAGAAGAAAGAGGCUGCUGGAAUCGAGACAGAGUGUGCUAGCAGAUGACGAGGUGGAACUCUGGAAGUCCGCCACCGUAGACCUCAUGUCUGACGAAGAAGAUGGCGUUGUUGGCGGGGUCUCUGGAUGGAUUGUACGGUCGCCGUCAUUUCGUAGGCCAGACCUCUCUGAACUCUGUGCGAAGCUGCAGUCCCGGUUAGAGGCGACGCCGAAGUACAGAGCCACGCACAAUAGGCGUCUGCAUAACGGACCUGCCUCGGAAAGAACGCCGCCAGUUACCUACAACCCCGAGGAGGCAAACGGACAGUUCACGGAGUUGUAGUUUUUGGAUCAUCCUCUACCCAUGUGUGGGCAGAUCCUCGCUUUGUAUAUAGUUGUGUUUGUUUUAAUAAAGCUCGCUCUUUGCA
This is a long non-coding RNA of Alosa sapidissima (American shad), 686 nucleotides long. RefSeq lists it as uncharacterized. The transcript is spliced from 4 exons. The record is from RefSeq and is a predicted model, not a curated record. Lineage: Eukaryota; Metazoa; Chordata; Actinopteri; Clupeiformes; Clupeidae.